GAUGAACGCUAGCUACAGGCUUAACACAUGCAAGUCGAGGGACCGGCGCACGGGUGAGUAACACGUAUCCCACCUGCCCUUUACUCGGGGAUAGCCUUUCGAAAGAAAGAUUAAUACCCGAUAUAAAGGAUGGGGAUGCGUUCCAUUAGGUUGUUGGUGAGGUAACGGCCCACCAAGCCUUCGAUGGCGAGUGGUUCUGAGAGGAAGGUCCACCACAUGGGAACUGAGACACGGUCGAAACUCGUACGUGAGGCAGCAGUGAGGAAUAUUGGUGAAUGGGCGCUAGUCUGAACCAGCCAAGUAGCGUGAAGGAUGAAGGCUUAUGGGUCGUAAACUUCUUUUAUAUAAGAAUAUGUAUUAUAUGAAUAAGGAUCGGCUAACUCCGUGCCAGCAGCCGCGGUAAUAC
Molecule: ribosomal RNA, 406 nt
Filed under: uncultured bacterium
Lineage: Bacteria
Description: partial 16S ribosomal RNA
Rfam family: Bacterial small subunit ribosomal RNA
Source: RNAcentral